RNAcentral lists this ribosomal RNA (253 nucleotides) under uncultured Bacteroidales bacterium. RNAcentral describes it as "partial 16S ribosomal RNA". It matches the Rfam family "Bacterial small subunit ribosomal RNA", at positions 524 to 776 of the family's 1533-position model. Lineage: Bacteria; Pseudomonadati; Bacteroidota; Bacteroidia; Bacteroidales. The record is from RNAcentral.
UACGUAGGGGGCAAGCGUUAUCCGGAUUUACUGGGUGUAAAGGGAGCGCAGGCGGCGCGUUAAGUCUGAUGUGAAAACCCGCGGCUCAACUGCGGGACUGCAUUGGAAACUGGCGGGCUGGAGUUGGAGAGAAGUACGCGGAAUGCGCGGUGUAGCGGUGAAAUGCUUAGAUAUCGCGCAGAACCCCGAUUGCGAAGGCAGCGUACCGGCUCCACACUGACGCUGAGGCACGAAAGCGUGGGUAUCGAACAGG